UGCAGCUCUUUGGAUAAACAGAGAUAAACAUAAGGACCCAAAGGCCACGCUAUUGACUGUUCCUAUCUCUUGCCUCUAUCGCUCAUUCUAUUUUUGUUUUAGGCACCACAAGAAGUUUCUGCCUCACUUUCUUCAGUCUCAAUUUAGAGAUGGGAAAAAUAACUUCCAGCAUCACCUACGUGGUCCCUUCCGGGCAGAGGUGCCUAUGAUGGGAUGUGACCUGUAAUUUAGGCUGAAAAUACAGAACGGCUUACUCAGAUGCUUGAAACUCCAGCUACAACAAAGGACAAAGUAUCCUGCAAACAGCAUCGUGAUGCCACCGACUCCACUCUUCACGGUGGUGCUGCACCUGAUCCAGCCUGUUUAAAAAGAAACAGGUCUGUCAGAGUGAAAUGUCAGACUCCAGAAUGAAGAGAGACGAACAGAAGAGCAGGAAGACUACAAAGUUGUCCCCCUUUUUCUGGAGCCUUGCUGUAACAGCCACAGCUAAAGUGAGACAAAGUUCUCCAAAUGCCUGGAACCAGCAGCAGAGCCCAGCAGUCAAUGACUCCAGCCUCACCUUUUUGGAGAGCUCCCAAGAACCUCAUUAGAGAGAAGUUGGAGGUUGUGAGUCUGGUCGGGGGUUCCAAACUCCUCACUGCCGUCGAACUUCUUUCCAACAAAGGAACUAGGGUUCCAAACAGAAGUCACUGUCAUAGUUCAUCUAAAUUCAUCCUCUUCCCCGACACUCAGUGCCCAAAGUUCCCAGGGCGAGGCUGUAGGAAAAGUGCGUUCUAAAUCGGUAGAUUAAUGUCUGCAUUGGGCUGUGGCUAACUUCGAAGCGCUGCAAGUCAAAGCAGUCUAUUCCAGAUCAAAAAGAGGUUCCUCAACAGACUAAGGGUCCCUGGGGGUUAAGACCUAGAUCCACCUCUGAUCUGAUGAAUACAGUGCCCAGACGACCCACAUGUACAUGCUUAAUGAAACGACUCAUUUGUACCUCCUAUCAUCCACUAGACAUCGUAGCAAAAAGCCUGACUUUCCACUGUAAUGUUAACUACCUGUCACCUGCUACCUGUCACCACUACCUACAGCUGACAGGCGUGUUCUAUUAUCACUGCUGCUGACCUGCAAACACGUCUUAUUUACGUUCAAUAUGUGAGUAACUAAAGUUGAGCCAGAAAAGAGGGUUUAUGCUAUGUA
Camelus dromedarius (Arabian camel) is the source of this 1179-nucleotide long non-coding RNA. RefSeq lists it as uncharacterized. Lineage: Eukaryota; Metazoa; Chordata; Mammalia; Artiodactyla; Camelidae. The record is from RefSeq and is a predicted model, not a curated record. The transcript has 3 exons.